This 374-nucleotide ribosomal RNA is filed under the name uncultured bacterium. RNAcentral's name for it is "bacterial SSU rRNA". It matches the Rfam family "Bacterial small subunit ribosomal RNA", at positions 28 to 404 of the family's 1533-position model. The record is from RNAcentral.
AAUCAACGCUGGCGGCGUGCCUCAGACAUGCAAGUCGAGCGGUAAGGCCCUUUCGGGGGUACACGAGCGGCGAACGGGUGAGUAACACGUGGGUGACCUGCCCUCAGCUCUGGGAUAAGCCUGGGAAACCGGGUCUAAUACCGGAUAUGACUCCAUGACGCAUGUUGUGGGGUGGAAAGCCUUGUGCGGCUGAGGAUGGGCCCGCGGCCUAUCAGCUUGUUGGUGGGGGAUGGCCUACCAAGGCGACGACGGGUAGCCGGCCUGAGAGGGCGACCGGCCACACUGGGACUGAGACACGGCCCAGACUCCUACGGGAGGCAGCAGUGGGGAAUCUUGCGCAAUGGGCGAAAGCCUGACGCAGCGACGCCGCGUGA